CGCACGGGUGAGUAACACGUAUGGAACCUGCCCUAUGCAGGGGGAUAAGCGGAAGAAAUUCCGUCUAAUACCGCAUAACACCUUUAGGAGACAUCUUCUUGGGGGUCAAAGGAGGCGACUCCGGCAUAGGAUGGCCAUGCGUCGCAUUAGCUAGUCGGCGGGGUGACGGCCCACCGUGGCGACGAUGCGUAGGGGUUCUGAGAGGAAGGCCCCCCACACUGGGACUGAGACACGGCCCAGACUCCUACGGAAGGCAGCAG
Molecule: ribosomal RNA, 260 nt
Filed under: uncultured bacterium
Lineage: Bacteria
Description: partial 16S ribosomal RNA
Rfam family: Bacterial small subunit ribosomal RNA
Source: RNAcentral